This is a long non-coding RNA of Halichondria panicea, 5204 nucleotides long. RefSeq lists it as uncharacterized. NCBI's taxonomy places the organism in Eukaryota, Metazoa, Porifera, Demospongiae, Suberitida, Halichondriidae. The transcript is spliced from 3 exons. The record is from RefSeq and is a predicted model, not a curated record.
GGUUUUAAUAUAGUUGCAUGUGGGGGUUACUGCGGGGGUAGGCAGUAAUAUAGUUGCAUAUGGGAGUUACUGUGGGGGUAGGCAGUUUGAAGUUGCAUACUUAACCGAUCGAGAGCACUGCCGUGUCCCGGAUUACCACCAACUUCCCCAAAUAUAAUUGCAACACUGGAGUGACAUGAUGGCAUAAAGUACCAUUGUCUUAUUGACGGUAUAAGAUGCCUCCACCAAGCAUCCAAUUAAGUAUCGAUCGAUUGAUACCACCAUUAUCAUUGGACGCUACUGACUGCCGGAAAUGAUCCUUCUCUGCCAAGGCCACACUCUCACAGCUCCCAAGUUCUAAGUUCUGUCUGGUCAGUAAGUGGUUUGGUUCUACUCCCGUUUGAGUACUCACAUUGAUCUGUCAAGCUGAGUAAGGCUCCGGCCGCUCUGUGGUGAGUAAGGCUCUGGCCUAUGCUCUGUGGUGAGUAAGGCUCUGGCCUAUGCUCUGUGGUGAGUAAGGCUCUGGCCUAUGCAUAUGGUUCUCUGUGGUGAGUAAGGCUCUGGCCUAUGCAUGGUGCUCUGUGGUGAGUAAGGCUCCGGCCUAUGCUCUGUGGUAAGGCUCCGGCCUAUGCUCUGUGGUGAGUAAGGCUCUGGCCUAUGCAUAUGGUGCUCUGUGGUGAGUAAGGCUCUGGCCUAUGCACAUGGUGCUCUGUGGUGAGUAAGGCUCUGGCCUAUGCAUAUAGUGCUCUGUGGUGAGUAAGGCUCUGGCCUAUGCAUAUGGUGCUCUGUGGUGAGUAAGGCUCUGGCCUAUGCAUAUGGUGCUCUGUGAUGAGUAAGGCUCUGGCGUAUGCAUAUGGUGCUCUGUACUGUGAUGAGUAAGGCUCUGGCUGAGUAAGGCUCCGGCCUAGGUAUCUCUCAAAGUCACUGCACACUGUCUGGUCUUAAGUGAUCUAUACUGACUGUGUGGUAUUGACCGAUGCAACAACUGACCGCAACCCUCUGGUUGUGGUGAUAUGAAUGGUGUGGCCCUAUUAACAACUAAGAGGUGGCCCUAACAAAGGUGGCCCUAACUAACAACAGAGGUGGCCCAUUGAUUCUAUCGAUCCACGACAGAAACCUAUGUUCCCAGUGCCUCAAUGAGGAGCUGAGCAGGAUGUGGAGCGGGGCAAGUGGCAGCAGCUGGAUCCACCACCAUCUCCAUCAUCCCAUCUCUCAACCAAGACACUCUGAUCUUCUCCAUCUCUGCUGGAGUCCCUAUCCACUCGGGGGUGUUCAUCCCAGCUGAAGAAGGCUUCGGCCUCGCAGCUGAGUCUCCUGUCCAUGCACUCAUGGCAGGGGCGGCUCUGUUCACUCCCAAAGGCUUCGGCCCGGAUCGGAGCACUGUUCUCUCAUGUUCACCGGCCCUGAAGGGGUAUGUGAUCAUUGUGUACAUUCACUCCCAAAGGCUUCGGCCUGAAGGCUCUGAUGUUCACCGGCCUCUCUGAUCUCUGCUGGAGUCCCUAUCCACUCGGGGGUGUUCAUCCCAGCUGAAGAAGGCUUCGGCCUCGCAGCUGAGUCCCCUGUCCAUGCACUCAUGGCAGGGGCAGGCUCUGUUCACUCCCAAAGGCUUCGGCCCGGAAGCACUGUUCUCUCGUGUUCACCGGCCCUGAAGGGGUAUGUUAAUCUCAUUGUGUACAUUCACUCCCAAAGGCUUCGGCCUGAAGGUUCUGAUGUUCACCGGCCUCUCUGAUCUCUGCUGGAGUCCCUAUCCACUCGGGGGUGUUCAUCCCAGCUGAAGAAGGCUUCGGCCUCGCAGCUGAGUCCCCUGUCCAUGCACUCAUGGCAGGGGCGGCUCUGUUCACUCCCAAAGGCUUCGGCCCGGAAGCACUGUUCUCUCGUGUUCACCGGCCCUGAAGGGGUAUGUUAAUCUCAUUGUGUACAUUCACUCCCAAAGGCUUCGGCCUGAAGGCUCUGAUGUUCACCGGCCUCUCUGAUCUCUGCUGGAGUCCCUAUCCACUCGGGGGUGUUCAUCCCAGCUGAAGAAGGCUUCGGCCUCGCAGCUGAGUCCCCUGUCCAUGCACUCAUGGCAGGGGCGGCUCUGUUCACUCCCAAAGGCUUCGGCCCGGAAGCACUCUUCUCUCAUGUUCACCGGCCCUGAAGGGGUAUGUGUUAAUCUCAUUGUGUACAUUCACUCCCAAAGGCUUCGGCCUGAAGGCUCUGAUGUUCACCGGCCUCUCUGAUCUCUGCUGGAGUCCCUAUCCACUCGGGGGUGUUCAUCCCAGCUGAAGAAGGCUUCGGCCUCGCAGCUGAGUCCCCUGUCCAUGCACUCAUGGCAGGGGCGGCUCUGUUCACUCCCAAAAGCUUCGGCCUGGAAGCACUGUUCUCUCGUGUUCACCGGCCCUGAAGGGGUAUGUGUUAAUCUCAUUGUGUACAUUCACUCCCAAAGGCUUCGGCCUGAAGGUUCUGAUGUUCACCGGCCUCUCUGAUCUCUGCUGGAGUCCCUAUCCACUCGGGGGUGUUCAUCCCAGCUGAAGAAGGCUUCGGCCUCGCAGCUGAGUCUCCUGUCCAUGCACUCAUGGCAGGGGCGGCUCUGUUCACUCCCAAAAGCUUCGGCCCGGAGGCACUGUUCUCUCAUGUUCACCGGCCCUGAAGGGGUAUGUGUUAAUCUCAUUGUGUACAUUCACUCCCAAAGGCUUCGGCCUGAAGGCUCUGAUGUUCACCGGCCUCUUUGAUCUCUGCUGGAGUCCCUAUCCACUCGGGGGUGUUCAUCCCAGCUGAAGAAGGCUUCGGCCUCGCAGCUGAGUCCCCUGUCCAUGCACUCAUGGCAGGGGCGGCUCUGUUCACUCCCAAAGGCUUCGGCCCGGAUCGGAGGCAGCACUGUUCUCUCAUGUUCACCGGCCCUGAAGGGGUAUGUGAUCAUUGUGUACAUUCACUCCCAAAGGCUUCGGCCUGAAGGCUCUGAUGUUCACCGGCCUCUCUGAUCUCUGCUGGAGUCCCUAUCCACUCGGGGGUGUUCAUCCCAGCUGAAGAAGGUUUCGGCCUCGCAGCUGAGUCCCCUGUCCAUGCACUCAUGGCAGGGGCGGCUCUGUUCACUCCCAAAAGCUUCGGCCCGGAGGCACUGUUCUCUCAUGUUCACCGGCCCUGAAGGGGUAUGUGUUAAUCUCAUUGUGUACAUUCACUCCCAAAGGCUUCGGCCUGAAGGUUCUGAUGUUCACCGGCCUCUCUGAUCUCUGCUGGAGUCCCUAUCCACUCGGGGGUGUUCAUCCCAGCUGAAGAAGGCUUCGGCCUCGCAGCUGAGUCCCCUGUCCAUGCACUCAUGGCAGGGGCGGCUCUGUUCACUCCCAAAAGCUUCGGCCCGGAGGCACUGUUCUCUCAUGUUCACCGGCCCUGAAGGGGUAUGUGUUAAUCUCAUUGUGUACAUUCACUCCCAAAGGCUUCGGCCUGAAGGCUCUGAUGUUCACCGGCCUCCUCUAUCUCUGCUGGAGUCCCUAUCCACUCGGGGGUGUUCAUCCCAGCUGAAGAAGGCUUCGGCCUCGCAGCUGAGUCUCCUGUCCAUGCACUCAUGGCAGGGGCAGGCUCUGUUCACUCCCAAAGGCUUCGGCCUGGAGGCACUGUUGUUCUCUCUGACGUUCACCGGCCCUGAAGGCUUCGGCCGGGCAUGUGUUCAUGUUCAUCCCAGCUGAAGAAGGCUUCGGCCUCGCAGCUGAGUCCCCUGUCCAUGCACUCAUGGCAGGGGCAGGCUCUUCUGUUCACCCCGAUCUGAAGAAGGCGGCCAGACCAUCGGCCCCACAGCAGAAGGUGGACUUAGCCAUGGGUUUUACAGACGGGGAAAGGGAAUUGUUCAUAUGGUAUAGCUGUUGGUGUACACAGCGAUUAUGUAAUAACACAAUGCUUAACCGUCUUAUUCUUCUGCCCCCAGGAACAUUUAAUGGAUCUUUCUAACGAGCGGACUGAUCUGUCAUCAUAUGGACUGGUAAAGAGUUACUUCAUUAACUAUGUGUGCAUAUUCUGAUGGGAUGUGAUUACAUUCUGAUGGCUAAAAGUCACUUCUCCAAGAUCUCUUUUGGUGUAUGAAGUAUCCUUAUAAUGAUGCGUUUGGCUUGAUCUUUUUAUUAUGAGAAGUGUUCAUACAUCUUGGUUCCAUGUGCAACAUCCAAUUCAGCCUCUAUAUAGGCCAUAGAUUCAACUGCUUUUACACAAUGUGUAUGCUCCUAUUAUUUUUAUGCAGACAGAUCUGAAGAUAGAAAGACGAGACAAUAUACAAUUAUGGUGGGAACAUUUGUAUUGGCUGACGUACAGCUUAUGGAGUCACUGGCACAACCUGUCUACUUUAGCUGACCAAAAACUUAAUUGUGAGGCAAAAAAUACGAUUCUAUGUUCAGGCCCAUACCGACAUAGGAGCCGGGUUAAUUCCAUAUUGAUCUCACCAGGAUCACUUAAUUAUAUUUAUCGUGGCAAUCAAAACUAUUGUAUACACUAUAUAGGACAUUUUUCAUUUUAUCUGGUGCUUGGAUCUUUCUUUCUUUUUCUAGAAGUUGAAGUAGCCAUGACGUCAUCAGAUCUCUAUACGUAUACGUCUAUACCUUGUGGUGAGAACACACAAAGGUCUUCGGUACAAAAGGAUUGCCGGUGUAUGUAAGUGUACGUAUGGGGGUGUGCUAACAAAGUAGUGUUCCAUUGAACCCUCCGCACUUGGAAUACGGUGGUUUGUAGCAAAUAAUAACUAGUAUAUCCUUUCAUUAAAUUCUGGUGUUAACACGAUGAUCCUUGUGUUUGCAUGUGUAUUUUCAGAAAGUGGUAUACACAGUGAUUAUGAUAACAAAAUGCUUAACUGUUUCUGCUAGCUGCCCCCAUACAGGAAAUGAAUCUUCCUAACGAGCGGACUGAUGGACUGGUAAAGAGUUAACAACGUACUGGACAUGGACUCUUUGGCUCGUAAGUCAACCCACACAGUGACAAUGAACAAGACCGCCUCCAACACAAGUCACAAGAGUAAGGCCACGAUCUCAGCAAUGAUUAAUAGAACAAAGUUGGUGACCUAGCGUUAUUUUAAAGACAAUUCAGCCUGGGGACGAGGAUAGCUCAGUCUAUGAAAUUUUAUGACCCAUUUUGGCUUUAUCUUUUGAAUAUUUUCGUAAUUAAGAAGAUCGUAAUUAAGAUCAUAACAUUUUUGGGUUCUAUAAUAAUUAAUGCAUGCAUAUCCUGUUAUAAGCCAUGGAUUCAAAUGUUUUUACAACAUGUAUAAU